GGGUUGUGAGGUUAAGCGACUAAGCGUACACGGUGGAUGCCCUGGCAGUCAGAGGCGAUGAAGGACGUGCUAAUCUGCGAUAAGCGUCGGUAAGGUGAUAUGGACCGUUAUAACCGGCGAUUUCCGAAUGGGGAAACCCAGUGUGAUUCGUCACACUAUCAUUAACUGAAUCCAUAGGUUAAUGAGGCGAACCGGGGGAACUGAAACAUCUAAGUACCCCGAGGAAAAGAAAUCAACCGAGAUUCCCCCAGUAGCGGCGAGCGAACGGGGAGGAGCCCAGAGCCUGAAUCAGUGUGUGUGUUAGUGGAAGCGUCUGGAAAGGCGCGCGAUACAGGGUGACAGCCCCGUACACAAAAAUGCACAUAUUGUGAGCUCGAUGAGUAGGGCGGGACACGUGGUAUCCUGUCUGAAUAUGGGGGGACCAUCCUCCAAGGCUAAAUACUCCUGACUGACCGAUAGUGAACCAGUACCGUGAGGGAAAGGCGAAAAGAACCCCGGCGAGGGGAGUGAAAAAGAACCUGAAACCGUGUACGUACAAGCAGUGGGAGCCUCUUAAUGGGGUGACUGCGUACCUUUUGUAUAAUGGGUCAGCGACUUAUAUUCUGUAGCAAGGUUAACCGAAUAGGGGAGCCGAAGGGAAACCGAGUCUUAACUGGGCGUUAAGUUGCAGGGUAUAGACCCGAAACCCGGUGAUCUAGCCAUGGGCAGGUUGAAGGUUGGGUAACACUAACUGGAGGACCGAACCGACUAAUGUUGAAAAAUUAGCGGAUGACUUGUGGCUGGGGGUGAAAGGCCAAUCAAACCGGGAGAUAGCUGGUUCUCCCCGAAAGCUAUUUAGGUAGCGCCUCGUGAAUUCAUCUCCGGGGGUAGAGCACUGUUUCGGCAAGGGGGUCAUCCCGACUUACCAACCCGAUGCAAACUGCGAAUACCGGAGAAUGUUAUCACGGGAGACACACGGCGGGUGCUAACGUCCGUCGUGAAGAGGGAAACAACCCAGACCGCCAGCUAAGGUCCCAAAGUCAUGGUUAAGUGGGAAACGAUGUGGGAAGGCCCAGACAGCCAGGAUGUUGGCUUAGAAGCAGCCAUCAUUUAAAGAAAGCGUAAUAGCUCACUGGUCGAGUCGGCCUGCGCGGAAGAUGUAACGGGGCUAAACCAUGCACCGAAGCUGCGGCAGCGACACUAUGUGUUGUUGGGUAGGGGAGCGUUCUGUAAGCCUGUGAAGGUGGCCUGUGAGGGUUGCUGGAGGUAUCAGAAGUGCGAAUGCUGACAUAAGUAACGAUAAAGCGGGUGAAAAGCCCGCUCGCCGGAAGACCAAGGGUUCCUGUCCAACGUUAAUCGGGGCAGGGUGAGUCGACCCCUAAGGCGAGGCCGAAAGGCGUAGUCGAUGGGAAACAGGUUAAUAUUCCUGUACUUGGUGUUACUGCGAAGGGGGGACGGAGAAGGCUAUGUUGGCCGGGCGACGGUUGUCCCGGUUUAAGCGUGUAGGCUGGUUUUCCAGGCAAAUCCGGAAAACCAAGGCUGAGGCGUGAUGACGAGGCACUACGGUGCUGAAGUAACAAAUGCCCUGCUUCCAGGAAAAGCCUCUAAGCAUCAGGUAACAUCAAAUCGUACCCCAAACCGACACAGGUGGUCAGGUAGAGAAUACCAAGGCGCUUGAGAGAACUCGGGUGAAGGAACUAGGCAAAAUGGUGCCGUAACUUCGGGAGAAGGCACGCUGAUAUGUAGGUGAAGCGACUUGCUCGUGGAGCUGAAAUCAGUCGAAGAUACCAGCUGGCUGCAACUGUUUAUUAAAAACACAGCACUGUGCAAACACGAAAGUGGACGUAUACGGUGUGACGCCUGCCCGGUGCCGGAAGGUUAAUUGAUGGGGUUAGCGGUAACGCGAAGCUCUUGAUCGAAGCCCCGGUAAACGGCGGCCGUAACUAUAACGGUCCUAAGGUAGCGAAAUUCCUUGUCGGGUAAGUUCCGACCUGCACGAAUGGCGUAAUGAUGGCCAGGCUGUCUCCACCCGAGACUCAGUGAAAUUGAACUCGCUGUGAAGAUGCAGUGUACCCGCGGCAAGACGGAAAGACCCCGUGAACCUUUACUAUAGCUUGACACUGAACAUUGAGCCUUGAUGUGUAGGAUAGGUGGGAGGCUUUGAAGUGUGGACGCCAGUCUGCAUGGAGCCGACCUUGAAAUACCACCCUUUAAUGUUUGAUGUUCUAACGUUGGCCCCUAAUCGGGGUUGCGGACAGUGUCUGGUGGGUAGUUUGACUGGGGCGGUCUCCUCCUAAAGAGUAACGGAGGAGCACGAAGGUUGGCUAAUCCUGGUCGGACAUCAGGAGGUUAGUGCAAUGGCAUAAGCCAGCUUGACUGCGAGCGUGACGGCGCGAGCAGGUGCGAAAGCAGGUCAUAGUGAUCCGGUGGUUCUGAAUGGAAGGGCCAUCGCUCAACGGAUAAAAGGUACUCCGGGGAUAACAGGCUGAUACCGCCCAAGAGUUCAUAUCGACGGCGGUGUUUGGCACCUCGAUGUCGGCUCAUCACAUCCUGGGGCUGAAGUAGGUCCCAAGGGUAUGGCUGUUCGCCAUUUAAAGUGGUACGCGAGCUGGGUUUAGAACGUCGUGAGACAGUUCGGUCCCUAUCUGCCGUGGGCGCUGGAGAACUGAGGGGGGCUGCUCCUAGUACGAGAGGACCGGAGUGGACGCAUCACUGGUGUUCGGGUUGUCAUGCCAAUGGCACUGCCCGGUAGCUAAAUGCGGAAGAGAUAAGUGCUGAAAGCAUCUAAGCACGAAACUUGCCCCGAGAUGAGUUCUCCCUGACUCCUUGAGAGUCCUGAAGGAACGUUGAAGACGACGACGUUGAUAGGCCGGGUGUGUAAGCGCAGCGAUGCGUUGAGCUAACCGGUACUAAUGAACCGUGAGGCUUAACCUUACAACGCCGAAG
Molecule: ribosomal RNA, 2925 nt
Filed under: Escherichia coli
Lineage: Bacteria; Pseudomonadati; Pseudomonadota; Gammaproteobacteria; Enterobacterales; Enterobacteriaceae
Description: 23S ribosomal RNA
Rfam family: Bacterial large subunit ribosomal RNA
Source: RNAcentral